UGAAAAAUGAGGGGGAAUAGUGCAUCUAUUUAUAGGGAAAGCAAGUGGAAAAGUGGGGGGAACCGAAUACCCUUUGUGCAAAAAAAGGCUUAUUUUUUGUGUCUGCUUAGGGGAAAUCGAUUUACCUAAUUGGGUAAAAUCGAUUUCCCUAUUUUUUAUUUUAUUUUAUUUUUUAUUUUAAAUCAUGCCUUGAGCCCAUGCAAUAUGCCUUUGGUUAUGAAUGUUAAUAUAAUAUGGUGAUGGAGCAAUGGAUAAAUGUAUGUGUAAUAGGAUCAUAGAUCUGAUGAAAGUUGUUUUGGGGUAGGGUGAAUUUUGGGCUAUGACAAACUGAAC
Molecule: long non-coding RNA, 333 nt
Filed under: Lathyrus oleraceus (garden pea)
Lineage: Eukaryota; Viridiplantae; Streptophyta; Magnoliopsida; Fabales; Fabaceae
Description: Pisum sativum (pea) long non-coding RNA (PSAT_LNC024329)
Source: RNAcentral